AUGUCCAUAUAUUGGGCCUAAGCGUCGUACUGGCGACAAGUCUACCGGGAAAUCACCCGCCCAACGGGUGGGCGUACGGUAGAAACUGGCCUGGCUAUGGAACCUGGACAGGCUCCAGCAGAGUACAGUCCUGGGGGUACGGAGUGCAAAUCCCGAUAAUCCCGUGACGGACUACCAGAUGGCUGAAAUCACUCUGCAGAAGACGGCUUCGACCAGUGAGGGACGAAAGCUCGGGUCUCAAACC
RNAcentral lists this ribosomal RNA (244 nucleotides) under uncultured archaeon. RNAcentral describes it as "partial 16S ribosomal RNA". The record is from RNAcentral.